UACGGAGGGUGCAAGCGUUGUUCGGAAUUACUGGGCGUAAAGCGCGUGUAGGCGGUCGAGUAAGUCAGAUGUGAAAGCCUUCCGCUUAACGGAAGAAGUGCAUUUGAAACUACUCGGCUGGAGUACGGGAGAGGAGAGUGGAAUUCCCGGUGUAGAGGUGAAAUUCGUAGAUAUCGGGAGGAACACCAGUGGCGAAAGCGGCUCUCUGGUCCGAUACUGACGCUGAUACGCGAAAGCGUGGGGAGCAAACAGG
RNAcentral lists this ribosomal RNA (253 nucleotides) under uncultured bacterium. RNAcentral's name for it is "partial 16S ribosomal RNA". It matches the Rfam family "Bacterial small subunit ribosomal RNA", at positions 524 to 776 of the family's 1533-position model. The record is from RNAcentral.